GAUGAACGCUGGCGGCGUGCCAAAUCAUGCCAAGCGGACCAAAAGAAGAGGAACUUGCUCCCCUUACGUUAGCGGCGGACGGGGGGGUAACACGGGGGAAACCCACCUAUAAAGCCGGGAAAACUUUGGGAAACCGGAGCCUAAUCCGGAUAAUAUAUUUAACCCGCAUGGUCCAUAGGUAAAAGAGGGUUUUGUGGUACUUAUAGGUUGAUCCGCGCCGCAUUAGCUAGUUGGUAAGGUAACGGCUUACCAAGGCAACGAUGCGUAGCCGACCUGAGAGGGUGAUCGGCCACACUGGAACUGAGACACGGUCCAGACUCCUACGGGAGGCAGCAGUAGGGAAUCUUCCGCAAUGGGCGAAAGCCUGACGGAGCAACGCCGCGUGAGUGAUGAAGGUCUUCGGAUCGUAAAACUCUGUUAUUAGGGAAGAACAAAUGUGUAAGUAACUAUGCACGUCUUGACGGUACCUAAUCAGAAAGCCACGGCUAACUACGUG
This 496-nucleotide ribosomal RNA is filed under the name uncultured bacterium. RNAcentral describes it as "partial 16S ribosomal RNA". It matches the Rfam family "Bacterial small subunit ribosomal RNA", at positions 28 to 507 of the family's 1533-position model. The record is from RNAcentral.